AUUCCAGCUCCAAUAGCGUAUAUUAAAGUUGUUGCAGUUAAAAAGCUCGUAGUUGGAUUUCUGUCUCUUUUGGGAUGCGGUCCGCCCUUCAUGGGUGAGCACUGUUAUCCUGGGGACAUCCUCUCAAAGGCGUUAUGGUGCACUUAGUUGUGUGCUUAAUGAAUUUGGGAUCUUUACUUUGAAAAAAUUAGAGUGUUCAAAGCAGGCUUAUUGCUUGAAUAUAUUAGCAUGGAAUAAUGGAAUAGGACUUUGGUUCUAUUUUGUUGGUUUCUAGGACUGAAGUAAUGAUUAAUAGGGACAGUUGGGGGCAUUAGUAUUUAAUUGUCAGAGGUGAAAUUCUUGGAUUUAUGAAAGACUAACUACUGCGAAAGCAUUUGCCAAGGAUGUUUUCAUUA
Molecule: ribosomal RNA, 395 nt
Filed under: Choanoflagellata sp.
Lineage: Eukaryota; Choanoflagellata
Description: partial small subunit ribosomal RNA
Rfam family: Eukaryotic small subunit ribosomal RNA
Source: RNAcentral